AUUGAACGCUGGCGGCAGGCUUAACACAUGCAAGUCGAGCGGGGUGAUGGUGCUUGCACUAUCACUUAGCGGCGGACGGGUGAGUAAUGCUUAGGAAUCUGCCUAUUAGUGGGGGACAACAUCUCGAAAGGGAUGCUAAUACCGCAUACGUCCUACGGGGGAAAGCAGGGGAUCACUUGUGACCUUGCGCUAAUAGAUGAGCCUAAGUCGGAUUAGCUAGUUGGUGGGGUAAAGGCCUACCAAGGCGACGAUCUGUAGCGGGUCUGAGAGGAUGAUCCGCCACACUGGGACUGGGACACGGCCCAGACUCCUACGGGAGGCAGCAGUGGGGAAUAUUGGACAAUGGGGGGAACCCUGAUCCAGCCGUGCCGCGUGUGUGAAGAAGGCCUUAUGGUUGUAGAGCACUUUAAGCGAGGAGGAGGCUCUUUUGGUUAAUACCCAAGAUGAGUGGACGUUACUCGCAGAAUAAGCACCGGCUAACUCUGUGCCAGCCGCCGCAGUAA
RNAcentral lists this ribosomal RNA (503 nucleotides) under uncultured bacterium. RNAcentral describes it as "partial 16S ribosomal RNA". It matches the Rfam family "Bacterial small subunit ribosomal RNA", at positions 30 to 523 of the family's 1533-position model. The record is from RNAcentral.